This 73-nucleotide transfer RNA is filed under the name Bacteroidota bacterium. RNAcentral describes it as "Bacteroidetes bacterium (activated sludge metagenome) tRNA-Glu". It matches the Rfam family "tRNA". From Rfam's summary of the family: Transfer RNA (tRNA) molecules are approximately 80 nucleotides in length. Their secondary structure includes four short double-helical elements and three loops (D, anti-codon, and T loops). Further hydrogen bonds mediate the characteristic L-shaped molecular structure. tRNAs have two regions of fundamental functional importance: the anti-codon, which is responsible for specific mRNA codon recognition, and the 3' end, to which the tRNAs corresponding amino acid is attached (by aminoacyl-tRNA synthetases). tRNAs cope with the degeneracy of the genetic code in two manners: having more than one tRNA (with a specific anti-codon) for a particular amino acid; and 'wobble' base-pairing, i.e. permitting non-standard base-pairing at the 3rd anti-codon position. Lineage: Bacteria; Pseudomonadati; Bacteroidota. The record is from RNAcentral.
GUUCCCGUCGUCUAAUGGAUCAGGACAUCGCUCUUUCAAGGCGGAAAUGAGAGUUCAAUUCUCUCCGGGAAUG